Alligator mississippiensis (American alligator) is the source of this 737-nucleotide long non-coding RNA. RefSeq lists it as uncharacterized. Lineage: Eukaryota; Metazoa; Chordata; Crocodylia; Alligatoridae. The transcript is spliced from 2 exons. The record is from RefSeq and is a predicted model, not a curated record.
CCCGCGGCCAAGCCCCCGCCUCCCCCGGACAAGGCGCCGUGCGCUGCCGGGUGCAGGACGCGGGGGAGGCCGGGGAGCUCGGCUGUGCUCCGGCCCAGCAGGCCUCGUGCUGUUUUGCCCGAGGACGCGGCCGUCGGCGCUGCGGGUGGCUCUGCCGCCCCGGCCCGCUCUCCGCCGGGCUGCUCCCGCGCUGAUGGACGUGUCCCGCGGGCCCUGCCCUGUGCGGCUGAGAGAAGACUUGGCAGCUGCGCGCAGUCCUUGCGCUUGGUGAGGCAUCUCCUGCAAGGGUGUAUGACAUUGGCUGCACCUACAGCUUUCCAUCAUUUAGUUUGUCAAAUGGCAUAAAGUGCACGUGGAAACUCAUUGUGGCAGGCCUCUAGAGAUUCCCAAGGGAGGAACUGAGCUUCACUGCUGUUCCUUUGCUGCGCUUCUUGCUAGGUAGCUAUGGCCUGGCUGUUUCAUGUUGGUUGGUCUUUGGUAACUUCUGGGCAUGCUGUGUGAGACCUUCCUGAGCCACAUCUUUUGCUUCUUUUGCAGGAACACAGACCCAGAACUAAACCUGGGGGAUUUGUAUCCCUCCCUAGCAAUAACUGUUGCCUUGAUGAAAUGGGACUGGAAAUGGGCAUGGGCCAGAAACCACAGCCUGGUCUUAUCCGUAGGGGUGUGGGAAGUCCAUGCCAUAAGUUUUGCUGCCUGUAUCCUGGAACACAAAGAAUAAAAUAAUCACCUUUUGGCAA